This 334-nucleotide long non-coding RNA is filed under the name Vigna radiata. RNAcentral describes it as "long non-coding RNA (VRAD_LNC009979)". The record is from RNAcentral. Lineage: Eukaryota; Viridiplantae; Streptophyta; Magnoliopsida; Fabales; Fabaceae.
GGGAGAUGAGUAAGAAAAAAAGAAAAAGAAAAGAACAAGAAUAAAAAGAAUGAAGAUGAAGAAAAGAAGGAGAUAAAGAAGAGGAGGAAGAGUAGCGGCGACAGAGGCAUGUUGAUGGCAAUACUCUAGCUAGGACAAACCAAAUCUAAAAGCAACCAAGCCAUAUGAUCAAGGAGCUCGCGAUUUUGGUGGAUGCUUGCGGAAAUGGUGGUGGAUGAAAGUAGAUGCUCACGGCUUUGGCUAUUUGAAUGGUGAAGGAUGAAGUGUUUAAGGUUCUCUAGGAAAGGUUGGGCCAACCCUUGGAGGAAGGUGGCUAGAGGAAGCCACUUGGGUU